AUGGGCGGAGUUACUGCGCCGGGAUCUUAUAUAACCCAGCGGAGCAAUCUUAAGUUAGUCUUGUCAACAUGAAACAGUUCUUGUGCCUCUCCCUCUGUCUGCUGGCUCUCUGCCUCGUUGGCGUGACGGGAGGUGCAUUCCGGGCGAGGGAUGCACGGCCGAGGUGACAGCUGGCUUGGACUGCGAGUUCGGAUUCGUGACGGACCGCUGCAACAGGUGUGAAUGCGCCAAGGGGCUCGGCGAAGUGUGCGGCGGAACGUGGGACUUCUCUGGCAUCUGCGCCAAAGGUCUCGAGUGCGACAAGGAUGGCGAAUUCUCUGAAGGCGUGUGUGUCAA
This is a non-coding RNA of Penaeus vannamei (Pacific white shrimp), 336 nucleotides long. NCBI's taxonomy places the organism in Eukaryota, Metazoa, Arthropoda, Malacostraca, Decapoda, Penaeidae. The record is from RefSeq and is a predicted model, not a curated record.